RNAcentral lists this long non-coding RNA (209 nucleotides) under Homo sapiens (human). RNAcentral's name for it is "non-protein coding lnc-AK6-1:4". The record is from RNAcentral. Lineage: Eukaryota; Metazoa; Chordata; Mammalia; Primates; Hominidae.
AAGGAAGGCAGAGUGUACAAUGUCUAUGUAAGCACAACAAGAAAGCAACUUAACUGCCUGCAGCAUCAGACCAAGUUCCUGGAUCAUAAGUUUGAAAGCAGCUUCUAGAUGACGCUUGUGGAUAUUUGGAAUAAUAUCUACUAAUUUCUGUUAAGCAGCUAUGUUUCAACUCCACUUCAAUAAAAACAGCCAAAUUUCUCUCCUGGAAA